This 3004-nucleotide long non-coding RNA is filed under the name Homo sapiens (human). Its description in RNAcentral is "HSALNT0057729". Lineage: Eukaryota; Metazoa; Chordata; Mammalia; Primates; Hominidae. The record is from RNAcentral.
GCAGUGGCUCUAUCUCAGCUCAUUGCAACCUCUGCCUCCCAAGUUCAAGUGAUUCUUCUGCCUCAGCCUCCCGAGUAGCUGGGAUUACACGACCACCAUGCCCAGUAAAUGGCAUGGGGAAAAUCUGAUUGCCACAGACAGAAGAAUGAAACUGGAUGCCUAUUUCUCACAAUACACAAAAGCGAUUCAAGAUUAAAGACUUAACUAUACCUUGACUAUGAAUAAUAGUUUCAAUAAGGAAGACAGAAUGAGUUCUGACACGAUGGUUGGGAGCUGUGACAGGCAGACGAAAAAUGGAGCCAAAUGGCAUGGAGGUGUGUCAUCACUGCUGGAUUUUACCUUGAUCUACAUUCAGUUAUCUACUUCUUUUCAAAAUGCUGGGCAUUCAUUCAAGAAACAGCAUAUAUGUUCUGACUUUGAAGUAAUGGAUGAACUGUCAUGUGCAGUAUAUGGAAAUAAGUUUUAUUACCUUCUUCCCACAUUAACUCAUCCAUCCAUUCAAUAGCCAUUUAUUGAGAAGCUCACUCUGUGUUAGGCACAGUGGUGUCAUGAUGUUGGAACAGUAACAAUAACUCAACCAACCAGGGCUUGUCUGAAUACAAUCCUACAGCAGCAGGAGCUGUGGAGAUAUAGAAGGCAAGGAAGACCAGGUUGUGAGGGAAGACGAAUUUACUCCCAGGAAUGUUGGGAUUGAGAGUAAUAUUCUCCAAUAAUGGUGGAAGACAGAACAAUAAAAGCCCACCAGCUCCUUCUGCAUGGUGGGAUAAGAGAAAAGCCAAGGGCAGAAGUGAGAAAAAUAACCAUCACCAAACUGAAAAGAAAACCUUUAUAAAAAAACUGGAUUGAUAAAUGACCUUUAGUAGUGGAAAGAUACCAUUCCAAUGAAGCAUGAAUUGAAAGGAUUUCUUCUGAAAGCUAAUUUACAUUUUUCUUUUUUUUUUUUUCAUUUUCAGUGUGUUUUAGCAGGUGUAUUGUUCUACAUGGUUAGUUUCUUUACCUCUUUGAGAAAAAUGGGUCAGCUUGACACAUCUGGAUGAAAGAAUCCGUUAGGUGAUUAUGAUUGAAGACAGAUUAAGCCUUGUUAUGAGGGGAAUAUUUGGGGGCUUACCCUGAGGUGAUAUUUGAUGAUUUAGCUGUGGGAGAAUUUCCCUCCCAAGAUCAGCGUGACUGACACUGAAAUUGCUACAGGGGAACCGGACCUUUCCAAGAGGUGACAAGGACAUUUACCUGGUACAACACAAUGGUUCUGGACUGGAAGUCUAGUCCCAUUGAUGAAGUUCCCAAAAGAUGUCCAGGUCCUAAUCCCUGGAAUCUGUGAAUAUGUCAUCUUACACAUCAAAAGAACUUUGAAAAUGUGAUUGAGGUUAAGGACCUUGGAAUGAGGAGAUUACCUUGGAUUAUCUGGUUGGGUCCAAGCUAAUCACAUGAGUCCUUAAAGGAGAAGAACCUUUUUUAGCUGGGUCAGAGAGAGAUGUGAUGAUGAAAACAGGCUCAGGGAGAUGCACUGUAAGAAGGGCUUGACCAGUUGUUUUUGACUUUGAAGAUGGAGGGAAGGGCCAGGAGCCAAGGAAGGUGGGUGGCUUUUGGAAGGUGGAAAAAGCAAGGGAACAUUCUCUCCAGAGCCUCCAGAAAGGAGCUCAGCCCUGUUGACAUCUUUGUUUUUAUUUUUUAUUUUUAGUAGCAUUGAGGUCUCACUAUGUUGCACAGGCUGGUCUUGAACUCUUGAGCUCAAGCACUCCUCCCGCCUUGGCUUCCCAAAGUGCUGGGAUUAUAGGCAUGUGCCACCACAUCUGGCUUCCUACUGACAUCUUAACUUUAGUGCAGUGAGACUCAUAUUUGAAUUUCUGACCUUAUAUUAUAGAACCAUAAGACAUUAUAGAAUUAUAUAGAAUUAUAGAACCAUAAGACAAUAACUUUGUGUUGUUUUAAGAUACUAAAUUUUUGGUAAUUUGUUAUGGCAGCACAAUAAAACCAAUAUAGCAUUAUAUUAUGCCAAUAUCAUCUCUUUGUUGACUAUUGCUAUUAUAGUUUGUUUUAUGGGUCUUGUGUAAACAAUCAAGCUAUAAUAUUGGGUUAACUCCCUAAGGAAAACUUGGAAUAUAGAACAUUAUUUUAAAGACUGAAUUAGGUAAAUACACCUGCCAGUGAAUACAUUAACAAAUUAAUUAAUAUAUUCACUCUUUUCACUCACAAAUACUUUUUGAGCCCCUAUUACUAGCCAAACAUUUUGUUAGAUUCUGAGAAGGGUCUGCUAGACAACAUUGUGACUAUAGUUAAUAACAAUAUAUUGUACUCUUGAAAAUUACUAAGAGAGUAGAUUUUAAGUGUUCUCACCACAAAAAAUAAGUAUGUGAGGUAAUGCAGAUGUUAGUUAGCUUGAUUUAGCCAUUCCCCAGUGUAUACAUAUUUCAAACCUUCAUAUUAUACAUGGAUAAAUAUAUACAAUUUUUAUUUGUCAAUUAAAAGCCCCUCGAUGAAUACAGUUUCCAUUCUGUCCUUGAGGUGGAGCUUGUAGACUUGGUGGGGUCCGGGGAUCAACUUUUAAACAGGCAGUUCCAAAGUGUGGAGUGGAUAGGCUUAUUCUCUUUGUUGCUUUUAUGAUAGGUAUUUAGAAUGCACUUUCCUCUGUUAAGUUAAGCCAGCCACCAUUCCCUCAUUCAGUUUCCAUCCUCCAUGAAUUUGCUCACAUCUGCGGUCUACUGUCACUCAUUCUUUCCUUCUCUUCCUGAGGGCUUGUGUGACUUAUGUUCUUGGCUUUCUCUUAGGAACAUGGUGCAGCUUGGCCCUGCAUUAUCCAUCUGGAAAAACAGAUCAUAAAACAGUCCUUCUCUGUACUAAGUGCUAAAGUAGGAGGAAGGGCAUAAGUCAGCUCCCUGAGCUAUAUAUCCUUGUUUUCAGGAGCUGAGCUAGACACAAGCAGAACUUGCAAAUAAUUUACAUUUCUUUCUGCUGAGGUGGUUCAGAAUAAGUUGCAACAAACAUGAACAGGAAUGGUGCAGUAAAU